Molecule: long non-coding RNA, 1386 nt
Filed under: Manihot esculenta (cassava)
Lineage: Eukaryota; Viridiplantae; Streptophyta; Magnoliopsida; Malpighiales; Euphorbiaceae
Description: long non-coding RNA (MESC_LNC007092)
Source: RNAcentral
UCGGGUCCGAACCUACACAGGCGAACUCAAAUGAGGGACCUAACAUACAUAAACAUGACUCUAAAAUACUCCCCAAAAACCCCCCUAAAACACCUUAAAACAAUUACAUAAAUUGUAACAGCCCGCUUACCGGACCAUCACCGGCACUAGGAUCCAGAUCGGCUUAAGGCCGCCGGGACCCGUAGUAAGCCUACUGUCAACUCUGUGUACCUGAUAAAACCCAUACAUGAUCAUACUUAAGCUUAAAACUGUUACUUACUUUUUCUUUCUUUCUUUACUUUUCUAACUUUUCUUUUCUCAUCCACUAAGCCUGGACCAUGCAUGCUCUGUCUGUAUGCACUCGAAGAGUGAUACCUGCUAUGGUACCAUACAGUAACUACAGAGAUAGAAAGACUACCAUGCACCAAGCCUAGCGCAUCAUCAUAACAUUAUCUCAAUCAUAAAAUGAUCAUGUGCAAAGGGAUAAACAUACACUAGGGCUAAGCACAAUUCUAUAAUUCAAUACAUAACUUGCUAUUACAUCAUUUCUAUACAUUACAUAACCUCUGUACUGUACAUCAUUAUCAUGUCCACUACUCUAUACUAUUACAUAUGCUUUUACCCUUGCUUUCUCUUUCUCUUUCUCUUCUCUGAGGCCCUGAAAAAUGGGAUUAGGGAGAGGGAUGAGCUACUAAAGCCCAGUGAGCGGAAGCCAUAAAAACAUUUAAAAUAUGCUAUAAUGUAAUGCGUCACUGCACAAACAUUUCACAUCUCAGAUUGGACAUGACCCCAAAACUCCCUCUGUCGGUGCCCGGCCCCCAAAGGAGCUCACACAGGUCUUUCACUAACUACUCAUGGUGCCCGACCCUAUAAGGGCUCUCACAGGACUCAUCCAAGUUAAAUGCCCGGCCCCAAAGGAGCUCACACAGGACAUACAAUAAUGACAGACUUGUGGGCUAUUGGAGUCGCCUCGGUCCAAUCCACAUAUACAAGUAAUAAUGCAAUGCAUCAACUUGGUGAAUACUAAUGCAAAGCAUCCUACAUAAACAUGGCAUUAAUGAUGCAUGAAUCAUGCUAAAACAUUCAUUAACUUUCAAACAUAGUUCUGUUCCACUCACCUCUGUCUACUGCUGAGCAGUCUCUGUAACUCUAACUCUGUGGGCCUCCUUGGUCCCUCGGGUUCGCACCUACACAGGUGGACUCAAAUGAGGACCAAACAUACUUAAACAUAACUCUUAAUAUCUCCCCAAAACCCCUCUAAAACAUCAUAAGCAUGCAUGACAAAAUGGGCAAAGGAAGGCUGGUCAGGGCACUUUCGGCGGCUGGUUCGGCGGCCGAAACCUCCCUCCAGAGACGAAACUCAUGCAUGUUCGGCGGCACCUUCGGCGGCCGAAAGCCUCGUCNNNN